RNAcentral lists this ribosomal RNA (465 nucleotides) under Vreelandella stevensii. RNAcentral describes it as "partial 16S ribosomal RNA". It matches the Rfam family "Bacterial small subunit ribosomal RNA", at positions 338 to 795 of the family's 1533-position model. Lineage: Bacteria; Pseudomonadati; Pseudomonadota; Gammaproteobacteria; Oceanospirillales; Halomonadaceae. The record is from RNAcentral.
CCUACGGGGGGCUGCAGUGGGGAAUAUUGGACAGUGGGGGCAACCCUGAUCCAGCCAUGCCGCGUGUGUGAAGAAGGCCCUCGGGUUGUAAAGCACUUUCAGUGAGGAAGAACGCCUGGUGGUUAAUACCCAUCAGGAAAGACAUCACUCACAGAAGAAGCACCGGCUAACUCCGUGCCAGCAGCCGCGGUAAUACGGAGGGUGCGAGCGUUAAUCGGAAUUACUGGGCGUAAAGCGCGCGUAGGUGGCUUGAUAAGCCGGUUGUGAAAGCCCCGGGCUCAACCUGGGAACGGCAUCCGGAACUGUCAAGCUAGAGUGCAGGAGAGGAAGGUAGAAUUCCCGGUGUAGCGGUGAAAUGCGUAGAGAUCGGGAGGAAUACCAGUGGCGAAGGCGGCCUUCUGGACUGACACUGACACUGAGGUGCGAAAGCGUGGGUAGCAAACAGGAUUAGAUACCCUUGUAGUC